Molecule: microRNA, 17 nt
Filed under: Caenorhabditis elegans
Lineage: Eukaryota; Metazoa; Nematoda; Chromadorea; Rhabditida; Rhabditidae
Source: RNAcentral
GGUGUGCAGUAGACGAU